GAGGGUAUAGCUCAGUGGUAGAGUGCGUGCUUAGCAUGCAAGAGGUCAUGGGUUCAAUCCUCAGUACCUCCA
This 72-nucleotide transfer RNA is filed under the name Camelus bactrianus (Bactrian camel). It matches the Rfam family "tRNA". From Rfam's summary of the family: Transfer RNA (tRNA) molecules are approximately 80 nucleotides in length. Their secondary structure includes four short double-helical elements and three loops (D, anti-codon, and T loops). Further hydrogen bonds mediate the characteristic L-shaped molecular structure. tRNAs have two regions of fundamental functional importance: the anti-codon, which is responsible for specific mRNA codon recognition, and the 3' end, to which the tRNAs corresponding amino acid is attached (by aminoacyl-tRNA synthetases). tRNAs cope with the degeneracy of the genetic code in two manners: having more than one tRNA (with a specific anti-codon) for a particular amino acid; and 'wobble' base-pairing, i.e. permitting non-standard base-pairing at the 3rd anti-codon position. RNAcentral also lists the same sequence under 2 other names. Lineage: Eukaryota; Metazoa; Chordata; Mammalia; Artiodactyla; Camelidae. The record is from Rfam by way of RNAcentral.